Molecule: unclassified non-coding RNA, 217 nt
Filed under: Cutibacterium acnes
Lineage: Bacteria; Bacillati; Actinomycetota; Actinomycetes; Propionibacteriales; Propionibacteriaceae
Description: partial miscellaneous RNA
Source: RNAcentral
CUAAGGAGUUUUUGUGAGUGGAAUGUUGGCGUCCUGCCUGUGAUGGGUGGGGUUGGGGGCAUGCUGUUGGGUUGUGGGGUAUCACAUGUGUGGUGGCCUGUGCGGUGCUGUGUUGCGUGUGUGCGUGCGUGGUGUUCGUGUGGUGGUUGAGAACUGUAUAGUGGAUGCGAGUAUCUUUAUUGUUGUAUGUGCUUGUGCGACGUGGUGUUGUGCAAAG